UUUCUCUCUCCCUUCUCUCUCUAAAAUCGAUAAAUAUACCCUUGGGUGAGGAUUAAAAUUUUUUUAAAAGAUUCAAAAAAUAAAGUAUGUUUCCCUUGUUCUGUUUCAUGUUCCUUUAUUAUCAUGUAAUAUAGUUUGUAAUUAUGCUUAUAUCUGUGAGUUGUUUAAUGUCUAUCUUCCCACUGAAGAGAUUUAUGUAAGAUACUGGGAGGGGAAAAAAAAACUAGGGAGAGCUAUGUAGACCCCAUGCCUACCAGAACACUUGGGACUUAGUUAUGCUUAAAAAACAUUUGUUGAAUGUGUGGGUAGAUGAUAGAUAGCUUAUCUGUAUAGGCAAGCAGGAGGUAGCAAAGGCAGAGAAGUUACAGGGUCCUGGAAUCUUCCUACGUUCUCAGAGUCCAUGGUUUGUGUUCUAGCCUUUCUGAAAUAGUAAUGGGCUUUGCCCUUCCGCCUCUUGCAUUCAUUUCCCUGAGGACAGGAUUUAACAAUUAUAUUACCCCACACUCAAGCUAAUGCUGAUGUAACUAUAGUUGAUUUGGAGCCCUUGGUGGUGGCAGCUAGAUUUGUUUACCUGUUAAAUUGAUUCAUAGGUGGUACUGUAGGCAUGCAGCCAAACAGGUAUUUGCUAGGCUGUGUCAACCCAGUCCUUUUUAGCCUCUUGAGUGACGCAAGCCUUUGUACCAUAUGCUAAUUAAAGUGUUUAUUACUUGUAGGACCAGUUGUGUUUGAAAUGAAGUAUCUAUUUGCCUUUUAAUGAUUGAAGAUUUCAUUUUAACAGACUUAAUGUGAAUAGAAGAUAAAAUAAAUUGUUAAAGGUAUUAUCUAGGAACAGAUUAGCAAUAAUGAGAAAAUUAAACUUUUCUCCCAUUGAUCCUGCUCAGGUGUCAAAAGUGUAAGAAUUUCAGGAUGAUUUUUCAGGUUUCACUGUGUUAGGUUGACUUACUUCAUCCAUUCAGUAGACACGUUGAGCUCCUAGUUUGUGCAAGACAAAAUUAGGUGCUAGGGUUACAGAGAAAAACUCAGUUUCUCCUCUCAAGUACUAUGGAAGAAAAACACAUUAUAAGGAUACACAGCAGUGGAAUAUUAAUUAUGAAAAGUCUUCCCUUACAUCAGUGAAGGCUUCUCAUAAUUCUCAUAAUUCCUAAGUUGAUUUUGUUUUGAGUUGAGUUUUGAGUUGGACAGAAGACUUUUCAGGUAGGUACAGAGACAUGAGACCACACGUAGAUUAAGGGAAGUAAUAUAAGACAAGGCAAUGGCCAAAUCAAAAGAUUUAUGUACCUAGUAGUGGUUUGAAUUAUACUUUCAAGAUUAGGGGUAGCCGUUGAAGAGUUUGAAGCAGGGAUAUCUGAUAACAUUGAGGAGACUGAAUUGGAGUGGAGGUAAUAGGGUAAUAUUUGUGGUGGAGAAAUCAAAUGGGAGCCAGUUUCAGAAAUCUAAGAAAUGAUAGAGGCCUAAAUUUAGCUGAUCACAAUGAGACUGGGGAGAUGGGUACAUAAUUAUUUCAGAAGUGGAACUUUCCAGACAGUGGAGAUGAAGAAGGAACUUAGUAUGAUUCUCAGGUUUAGGUAUUCUGUUUGGGUGAGUAGCUGGUACCAUUUUUUAAGGUAGGGGAUGGGAAAAGGAACACUUACUGGGGGAAAUGUUGAAGUAAAGUUUAGGUGUAUUGAGUUUGAGUUGCUUGUGGGACAUGUAAUUGGAGGUGCUUAGCAGGGGUAGGAUAUACAGACUAGUCGUCAGGAGAGAGAUUGUGCAGGGACUGGGGACUCAAAAGUCAUUACUGUACAUGCGGUUGUUGCAGCCAUAGGUUUUGAA
Molecule: long non-coding RNA, 1812 nt
Organism: Phyllostomus discolor (pale spear-nosed bat)
Lineage: Eukaryota; Metazoa; Chordata; Mammalia; Chiroptera; Phyllostomidae
Exons: 2
Source: RefSeq, a predicted model, not a curated record